AGACACGGUCCACACUCCUACGGGAGGCAGCAGUGAGGAAUAUUGGUCAAUGGACGAGAGUCUGAACCAGCCAAGUAGCGUGAAGGAUGACUGCCCUAUGGGUUGUAAACUUCUUUUAUACGGGAAUAAAGUUAGCCACGUGUGGUUUUUUGUAUGUACCGUAUGAAUAAGGAUCGGCUAACUCCGUGCCAGCAGCCGCGGUAAUACGGAGGAUCCGAGCGUUAUCCGGAUUUAUUGGGUUUAAAGGGAGCGUAGGCGGGUUGUUAAGUCAGUUGUGAAAGUUUGCGGCUCAACCGUAAAAUUGCAGUUGAUACUGGCGACCUUGAGUGCAACAGAGGUAGGCGGAAUUCGUGGUGUAGCGGUGAAAUGCUUAGAUAUCACGAAGAACUCCGAUUGCGAAGGCAGCUUACUGGAUUGUAACUGACGCUGAUGCUCGAAAGUGUGGGUAUCAAACAGGAUUAGAUACCCUGGUAGUCCACACA
RNAcentral lists this ribosomal RNA (482 nucleotides) under uncultured bacterium. RNAcentral describes it as "bacterial SSU rRNA". It matches the Rfam family "Bacterial small subunit ribosomal RNA", at positions 322 to 801 of the family's 1533-position model. The record is from RNAcentral.